Transfer RNA from Selaginella moellendorffii, 73 nucleotides. It matches the Rfam family "tRNA". Rfam says of the family: Transfer RNA (tRNA) molecules are approximately 80 nucleotides in length. Their secondary structure includes four short double-helical elements and three loops (D, anti-codon, and T loops). Lineage: Eukaryota; Viridiplantae; Streptophyta; Lycopodiopsida; Selaginellales; Selaginellaceae. The record is from Rfam.
GCAGUCUUAGCUCAGCAGGUAGAGCGCGUGGCUUUUAACCACGUGGUCGUGCGUUCGAUUCUCACAGGCGGCG